GACGAACGCUGGCGGCGUGCUUAACACAUGCAAGUCGAGCGAUGAAGUUUUUUCGGAAAUGGAUUAGCGGCGAACGGGUGAGGAACACGUGAAGAAUCUGCCCUCCACUUUGGGCUAACACAGGGAAACCUGUGCUAAUACCGAAUAUUGAAACAUACGUGGCAUCACUGAGUUUUGAAAGAAUUUCGGUGGAGGAUGACUUCGCGGCCUAUCAGCUAGUUGGUGGGGUAAUGGCUCACCAAGGCAACGACGGGUAGCCGGCCUGAGAGGGCGACCGGCCACACUGGGACUGAGAUACGGCCCAGACUCCUACGGGAGGCAGCAGUGGGGAAUAUUGGGCAAUGGAGGAAACUCCGACCCAGCGACGCCGCGUGCGGGAUGAAGGCCUUCGGGUUGUAAACCGCUUUCAGUAGGGAAGAAGCGAAAGUGACGGUACCUACAAAAGAAGCACCGGCUAACUAUGUGCCAGCCGCCGCCGUAA
Molecule: ribosomal RNA, 481 nt
Filed under: uncultured bacterium
Lineage: Bacteria
Description: partial 16S ribosomal RNA
Rfam family: Bacterial small subunit ribosomal RNA
Source: RNAcentral